This is a non-coding RNA of Phrynosoma platyrhinos (Desert horned lizard), 72 nucleotides long. The record is from the annotation of a GenBank genome assembly. NCBI's taxonomy places the organism in Eukaryota, Metazoa, Chordata, Lepidosauria, Squamata, Phrynosomatidae.
GCCAGCAUGGUUCAAUGGUUUGAGCAUUGGACUACAACUCUGGAGAUCAGGGUUUGAUCCCCUGCUCGAGCA